UUUCCUCAUGUUGGUAACACAUGAGAAGAAUUAUGAAAGCAUUUUCUGAAAAGGAUAAAAAAUGCUAACUUAUUCUCUAAGUCCUAACAAGAAAAAUAAGCAAGAGUAAGGUAAAAUCAUUCUGCAAAAAUUAAAGCAGUGAGUAGACAAGGAUAAAAAUGAAGAAGUAUUAUACAAACUUCUUAACAUAAAAAGCUAAGGGAAAAACUUAGCAAUUACAAUACAUUUUUCUGAAACAGAUGCCCCAUUAUAGAAACUGGGGACUCCAUCACAUCAUAAGAUCAAACAAAAAAGAGGUAAGGUUAAACAUCUUCAUUGGUCAUUGAGGUGAUUGGAGCGGUAGGAGUCGCAGCUUCAUUAGGCUCUGAGAAGCAGUAGACACGGGGAUUUCUGUUCCUAAAGGUUGUGUUAUAGAUAAGUUACCCUUGUCUACUUGAAUUGUAAUUUCAAUAACUUCAGAUGUUGCUUCUAAGUUCAAAGGCUCUUCAACCCCGGAGUUUUCACUGUUGGAGAAGAGAUGUCAAUUACCUGGUCAGGAGAAGGAGUUUCGGUUGGCUGUUCAAUUUUCUCAAUCAAGUCUAAAAGUUUGGCUAACUCAGAUUGCAAGUCAAUUUUUUCCUGAGAAGCCUCCAUUAAAGUAUCACGACGAGAUUUCUAGAAGGCCCAGAAUACAACAUGUGUACAAGGUAUUUAAUGGGAAAGACAGAAAAGACAUUGUGACAAAAUUUCUUUUUCAGGAUCCACUUCCCAAUUAUUUAAUUGAUAAAUAAAUAAAAAGUGGGAGGACUAUAUAUAUUGGGAAAAAAUUGAGUUUUUAUUAAAGGUGACGUGUCAUGACAUGUGGAUUAGUCAAACAGUCAAAGAACAAUAAAUGAUUAAAAGGCACGGAGGACAACAUGCACGGUAGAAAAAAAGGAAACAGGCACGAGAAGGAACCUUAGUUACGAUUCUCGUGUAUAUCCAAGGCAUUCAAUAUCUACGGAUGAAACAGGUACGAGAAGGAACCUUAGAUACGAUUAUCGUGUCUAUCCAAGGCAUUCAAUAUCAACUGAUAAAAAAGGCAUUGAAAACACGAAUAUGAAGACAAAAAGUAGUCUACAUUCAUUAUUAAAUACUUGAUACGCUAGUUAUUCAGUAUUUAAUAACAAUCAUUAUGUAACUCCCAUUAAAUGCUCU
RNAcentral lists this long non-coding RNA (1176 nucleotides) under Nicotiana benthamiana. RNAcentral's name for it is "long non-coding RNA (NBEN_LNC029893)". The record is from RNAcentral. Lineage: Eukaryota; Viridiplantae; Streptophyta; Magnoliopsida; Solanales; Solanaceae.